UAGGGAAUCUUCGGCAAUGGACGAAAGUCUGACCGAGCAACGCCGCGUGAGUGAAGAAGGUUUUCGGAUCGUAAAACUCUGUUGUUAGAGAAGAACAAGGACGUUAGUAACUGAACGUCCCCUGACGGUAUCUAACCAGAAAGCCACGGCUAACUACGUGCCAGCAGCGGCGGUAAUACGUAGGUGGCAAGCGUGGUCCGGAUUUAUUGGGCGUAAAGCGAGCGCAGGCGGUUUCUUAAGUCUGAUGUGAAAGCCCCCGGCUCAACCGGGGAGGGUCAUUGGAAACUGGGAGACUUGAGUGCAGAAGAGGAGAGUGGAAUUCCAUGUGUAGCGGUGAAAUGCGUAGAUAUAUGGAGGAACACCAGUGGCGAAGGCGGCUCUCUGGUCUGUAACUGACGCUGAGGCUCGAAAGCGUGGGGAGCAAACAGG
Molecule: ribosomal RNA, 429 nt
Filed under: Chloroflexota bacterium
Lineage: Bacteria; Bacillati; Chloroflexota
Description: Chloroflexi bacterium partial 16S ribosomal RNA
Rfam family: Bacterial small subunit ribosomal RNA
Source: RNAcentral